RNAcentral lists this ribosomal RNA (985 nucleotides) under Ancistrocerus waldenii. Its description in RNAcentral is "eukaryotic LSU rRNA". It matches the Rfam family "Eukaryotic large subunit ribosomal RNA", at positions 417 to 1138 of the family's 3401-position model. Lineage: Eukaryota; Metazoa; Arthropoda; Insecta; Hymenoptera; Vespidae. The record is from RNAcentral.
AAACCUGAGAAACCCGAAAGAUCGAAUGGGGAGAUUCAGCGUCAGCGGCGUUGGCUCGGCGAUGUGGACGAUGUCGUGGACUACGGUAUCGCGACACGUUAUCACUAUGCCGCGUCCGACGUCGUCGUCGUGCACUUCUCCCCUAGUAGAACGUCGCGACCCGUUGGGUGCCGGUCUACGGCCCGAGGUGUAAGACUGACGCGUCGCUUCGGCGCAUGCGGCAGACCCUCGGUUGCCCGGCCGGCUGCCCGGCGGUAUAACGCACGGUAUCUGGCCGCAAUUUUUGAACUGCGUCGGGCCCGCCGCAAGCGAGGCCAGUGUCCCGGAGGUACGGACCCGGAGCCGUCCCCGAGCCUGGCCAGCUGUUGGCAGGCGGUGUCCUCGGACGGGCAGAAAUAAUGGUACCGGUCGGCGACGCUACUGCUUUGGGUACUCUCAGGACCCGUCUUGAAACACGGACCAAGGAGUCUAACAUGUGCGCGAGUCAUUGGGAUCUAAAAGCCUAAAGGCGCAAUGAAAGUGAAGGUCGACUUCGCGUCGACCGAGGGAGGAUGGGCCGCGCUACGACGCGGCUCCGCACUCCCGGGGCGUCUCGUUCUCAUUGCGAGAAGAGGCGCACCCAGAGCGUACACGUUGGGACCCGAAAGAUGGUGAACUAUGCCUGGUCAGGACGAAGUCAGGGGAAACCCUGAUGGAGGUCCGUAGCGAUUCUGACGUGCAAAUCGAUCGUCGGAACUGGGUAUAGGGGCGAAAGACUAAUCGAACCAUCUAGUAGCUGGUUCCCUCCGAAGUUUCCCUCAGGAUAGCUGGCACUCGCCCGUUCUCACGAACGUAUGAGAGUCUCAUCUGGUAAAGCGAAUGAUUAGAGGCCUUGGGGCCGAAACGACCUCAACCUAUUCUCAAACUUUAAAUGGGUGAGAUCUCUGGCUUGCUUGAAUAUUGAAGCCACGAGAUUUCGGAUCAGAGUGCCAAGUGGGCCAAUUUU